RNA transcript from Coregonus clupeaformis (lake whitefish), 1341 nucleotides. It is a transcript of the gene named CD276 antigen, with no coding region annotated. The transcript has 5 exons. The record is from RefSeq and is a predicted model, not a curated record. NCBI's taxonomy places the organism in Eukaryota, Metazoa, Chordata, Actinopteri, Salmoniformes, Salmonidae.
AUGAGGUUGCGCAGUGCAAUACUUCAGUAUCUAUAGCCUAAAUUAAAGUUACAACAUAUAGCUAUCACAAUUAGUAAUUGCUAGCUAGCUAGUUUAGCACCUAUAAGGUGUCGUAUACGUAAGGUAAAGAAGAAAUGGAUAAAAGGUAUAUUUAUUUGUACGAUUGGUGUUGUGAACUAACCACGUGCUGGUUGCCGGUUUGUGUCAUCUUGUUGAUGGAACUCCAAGUCUCUUCACAGGAGAGAGUUGAAGGUUUUACAAGAGGAAAGGUUAUUUUACCAUGUCGGUACAAUGCGAUGCCUAUUGAAGAGGUCACCAUAUUUUGGCGAUACAAGGAUGACCGUAAUGUCUACAAUAUUGUCAGUGGAAAAGCAGACUUGACAGACCAAGACCGUCAGUUCAGAGACAGAACCAGGAUGUUCCCUGAGGAAUGGGAAAACGGCAACUUCUCUCUCCUACUGACUGAUCUCAAGGACAUCGAUAGUGGGAGUUAUUCAUGUUUCAUACCAACAAUGAACAUUCUUCGUCAAGUGGAAUUUUCUGUUCAAGAGAAACCAACUCCUGAGCCUAAAGUUGAUCUUAGGAGCAGCAGCAUGAGUAUCAGAGAGCUGAACCAGAGCCUCUUCCUGUUUCUCCUCCUCAGUCCAACUCUCCACUUCCUUUGACUUACAGCACAGAAAUUGGUCUUUGUGCCACUUAUGAGACUGUUGACAAGUUCUGAGUGUUUAAACUGCUGAAAUACUAAUUAUUUUUGGAAUGUAUGUAAUAAGAUGAGUUAUUAAUAUUGCACUACCAAAUCACAGAAGUUUUGUUGAGAACUUGAGAUUGAACAUUUGCUGCACAGUAAAAAUAUUAUUUCAGUCAGCCUUUCAAUUAGAAAGUAUUUGACUUUAACACCACAGUGUUAUGAAAGGGAACAUAUUCACUUCCUCAAUGCUCUUUAUUGAAGAGUGUUUCUUUUAGCUUUUUGCAAACUAUGGUUUGAUCAUGUGAUUCCACAGUGUGUUCAGACACAUGUCUGUGUUAGGAGGAAGUCAGUUCAGACUCAGAUUAAUCACAGCUCUGAAGAUGUCGAGGAUUGUUGCCUGUCUGUUCUGUGUUUUAAGACUGUGUGUUGGAGCUGAGGCUUUGACAGAGACACUGGUAGAACUUGGACACAAUGCAACUCUGAACUGUUCUCUUAAUGGAACUAAUGUACACUGGUACAUACAGCACCAAAAACAGCCUCCACUGGCCAUACUCCGCUCUUUCACUAGUAGUAGUCCUGCUGCUUUUUAUUACAAUCAUCAUUUUAGACAUAAAUAUUCAUUAGAAACAGGAAAUAGAUUGUUAAUACAGAAU